Molecule: transfer RNA, 72 nt
Filed under: Ornithorhynchus anatinus (platypus)
Lineage: Eukaryota; Metazoa; Chordata; Mammalia; Monotremata; Ornithorhynchidae
Rfam family: tRNA
About the family: Transfer RNA (tRNA) molecules are approximately 80 nucleotides in length. Their secondary structure includes four short double-helical elements and three loops (D, anti-codon, and T loops). Further hydrogen bonds mediate the characteristic L-shaped molecular structure. tRNAs have two regions of fundamental functional importance: the anti-codon, which is responsible for specific mRNA codon recognition, and the 3' end, to which the tRNAs corresponding amino acid is attached (by aminoacyl-tRNA synthetases). tRNAs cope with the degeneracy of the genetic code in two manners: having more than one tRNA (with a specific anti-codon) for a particular amino acid; and 'wobble' base-pairing, i.e. permitting non-standard base-pairing at the 3rd anti-codon position.
Source: Rfam by way of RNAcentral
AGCAGCGUGGCUCAGUGGAAAGAGCCUGGGCUUCAGAGUCAGGGGUCAUGGGUUCGACUCCCGGCUCUGCCA